Molecule: long non-coding RNA, 1086 nt
Filed under: Equus caballus (horse)
Lineage: Eukaryota; Metazoa; Chordata; Mammalia; Perissodactyla; Equidae
Description: lncRNA (ENSECAG00000048781.1)
Source: RNAcentral
GUUUUUAAAAGCCCCAACAGGCCAGUUUCCAUGAGAUGGUCGGGGAAGGCCCUCUGAGGAGCCUGGAUGGGGGAGGGGGCAGGGGCAGAGCCAGUCGAGGACAGAGAGUUCCCAGGACAGGGAACAGAAAUGCCGAAGUCCAGAGGGGAGGACGAGGCAGGAAAAAACCAGGCAGUUCCAGCCCGUGUGACAAGUGAGUAUCAGGGGCUCAAGGGGCUGUGAGAAUCCAGCUGAGGGCCCUGAACCGUGCCUGAGAAGGUUCCAGAAGGAAGGGGUGUGUGAGCAGAGGGCUGCUGAUGGGGGCUGAGAUGACCACCCCUCUCAUAUACGCCCCAUCCUCCUGCCGUGGAGGACUGAGGACUGGUCCCCAUGAGUGCUGGGACCCCACAGGCCCAAGCUAUCCUUGGUAAAGGCCCCUGCUUCCUGGGCCCCAGGUCAGCUCUCUUCUUGGGUCCUCUGUGGCCGGCCCUUUCCUCCCAGACAUCCCUUCUCCAGCUCCACUAGGUGAGCUCUCACCUACUCACCGGAGGACUCGAGGAUGCACUGUCUCACUGAGCUCUGCCAUUGACUUGCUGUGUGACUACGGCCUCGUCGACGCCCCUCUCUGGCUGGGCCUCUGUCUCUCCCUCUCAACCUGGAGGAGUUGGGCUCCAGGCUCCCGGGGGCCGUGCCAGCCCGAGUGCCUGCCAUUCCUUGGCUGGAAGGCGAUGUCUUGGUGCCCUCUGGGUGGAAGCCUUGCCAAGCGAAGGGUUUGGCAUGCCCUCUUUGCCUGCUCUGUUCGAGAGUGACUGUCUUAUUCCAACAAGGAGCCACCCCCGGGGUGGCCCACUCUAAACCCCAGUGACUCACUUACAGAGUGAGGGGCAGGCGGGCGGCAGCCGUCUCUGUGGCUCUUGGCGUCGGUGGAGCCCACGGGCCCACGAGCCCACGCCGAGCGGGAACUUGUGUCAACCACUGGCUCCUGUAAAUCGCAGGGCUGGGACAAGGUGGGACUGUCAGCGGCCUCGGAGAGAAAGCUCAGCCUGUGUGCUCUGGGGAGGUGACCCGGGGGGACCCGGGGCCGCUGCUCCGGGAGUUAAUGAGUGC